Molecule: transfer RNA, 72 nt
Filed under: Gloeomargarita lithophora Alchichica-D10
Lineage: Bacteria; Bacillati; Cyanobacteriota; Cyanophyceae; Gloeomargaritales; Gloeomargaritaceae
Also listed under: 12 other names
Rfam family: tRNA
About the family: Transfer RNA (tRNA) molecules are approximately 80 nucleotides in length. Their secondary structure includes four short double-helical elements and three loops (D, anti-codon, and T loops).
Source: Rfam by way of RNAcentral
GCACGAGUGGCCGACUGGUAAGGCAAGCGACUCAUAAUCGCCGGUAUGUGGGUUCAAUUCCCUCCUCGUGCA